Limulus polyphemus (Atlantic horseshoe crab) is the source of this 224-nucleotide long non-coding RNA. RefSeq lists it as uncharacterized. The transcript has 3 exons. The record is from RefSeq and is a predicted model, not a curated record. Lineage: Eukaryota; Metazoa; Arthropoda; Merostomata; Xiphosura; Limulidae.
AAGGGACCGGAUAUUUCGUCUUAACCUCUACAAUAUCAACCGUACGAGAUGCGAGGCUGACUCUUUGACUCUAGCUCCAUCAAGUGUUGCAAAUUGUGUAUCAAAAGGCAAGUCUGAACACUAUGACUGCAGAAACCACAUCAGGGUUAUCCAGCCAGUUGGAGAAGGAAAUCAGCUGUACGUUUGUGGAACUAAUGCACACAACCCCAUGGACUGGAUCAUCC